GGGUUGUGAGGUUAAGCGACUAAGCGUACACGGUGGAUGCCCUGGCAGUCAGAGGCGAUGAAGGACGUGCUAAUCUGCGAUAAGCGUCGGUGAGGUGAUAUGAACCGUUAUAACCGGCGAUUUCCGAAUGGGGAAACCCAGUGUGUUUCGACACACUAUCAUUAACUGAAUCCAUAGGUUAAUGAGGCGAACCGGGGGAACUGAAACAUCUAAGUACCCCGAGGAAAAGAAAUCAACCGAGAUUCCCCCAGUAGCGGCGAGCGAACGGGGAGGAGCCCAGAGCCUGAAUCAGUGUGUGUGUUAGUGGAAGCGUCUGGAAAGGCGCGCGAUACAGGGUGACAGCCCCGUACACAAAAAUGCACAUGCUGUGAGCUCGAUGAGUAGGGCGGGACACGUGGUAUCCUGUCUGAAUAUGGGGGACCAUCCUCCAAGGCUAAAUACUCCUGACUGACCGAUAGUGAACCAGUACCGUGAGGGAAAGGCGAAAAGAACCCCGGCGAGGGGAGUGAAAAAGAACCUGAAACCGUGUACGUACAAGCAGUGGGAGCCUCUUAAUGGGGUGACUGCGUACCUUUUGUAUAAUGGGUCAGCGACUUAUAUUCUGUAGCAAGGUUAACCGAAUAGGGGAGCCGAAGGGAAACCGAGUCUUAACUGGGCGUUAAGUUGCAGGGUAUAGACCCGAAACCCGGUGAUCUAGCCAUGGGCAGGUUGAAGGUUGGGUAACACUAACUGGAGGACCGAACCGACUAAUGUUGAAAAAUUAGCGGAUGACUUGUGGCUGGGGGUGAAAGGCCAAUCAAACCGGGAGAUAGCUGGUUCUCCCCGAAAGCUAUUUAGGUAGCGCCUCGUGAAUUCAUCUCCGGGGGUAGAGCACUGUUUCGGCAAGGGGGUCAUCCCGACUUACCAACCCGAUGCAAACUGCGAAUACCGGAGAAUGUUAUCACGGGAGACACACGGCGGGUGCUAACGUCCGUCGUGAAGAGGGAAACAACCCAGACCGCCAGCUAAGGUCCCAAAGUCAUGGUUAAGUGGGAAACGAUGUGGGAAGGCCCAGACAGCCGGAUGUUGGCUUAGAAGCAGCCAUCAUUUAAAGAAAGCGUAAUAGCUCACUGGUCGAGUCGGCCUGCGCGGAAGAUGUAACGGGGCUAAACCAUGCACCGAAGCUGCGGCAGCGACACUAUGUGUUGUUGGGUAGGGGAGCGUUCUGUAAGCCUGUGAAGGUGUGCUGUGAGGCAUGCUGGAGGUAUCAGAAGUGCGAAUGCUGACAUAAGUAACGAUAAAGCGGGUGAAAAGCCCGCUCGCCGGAAGACCAAGGGUUCCUGUCCAACGUUAAUCGGGGCAGGGUGAGUCGACCCCUAAGGCGAGGCCGAAAGGCGUAGUCGAUGGGAAACAGGUUAAUAUUCCUGUACUUGGUGUUACUGCGAAGGGGGGACGGAGAAGGCUAUGUUGGCCGGGCGACGGUUGUCCCGGUUUAAGCGUGUAGGCUGGUUUUCCGUGCAAAUCCGGAAAACCAAGGCUGAGGCGUGAUGACGAGGCACUACGGUGCUGAAGCGACAAAUGCCCUGCUUCCGUGAAAGCCUCUAAGCAUCAGGUAACAUCAAAUCGUACCCCAAACCGACACAGGUGGUCAGGUAGAGAAUACCAAGGCGCUUGAGAGAACUCGGGUGAAGGAACUAGGCAAAAUGGUGCCGUAACUUCGGGAGAAGGCACGCUGAUAUGUAGGUGAAGCGACUUGCUCGUGGAGCUGAAAUCAGUCGAAGAUACCAGCUGGCUGCAACUGUUUAUUAAAAACACAGCACUGUGCAAACACGAAAGUGGACGUAUACGGUGUGACGCCUGCCCGGUGCCGGAAGGUUAAUUGAUGGGGUUAGCGGUAACGCGAAGCUCUUGAUCGAAGCCCCGGUAAACGGCGGCCGUAACUAUAACGGUCCUAAGGUAGCGAAAUUCCUUGUCGGGUAAGUUCCGACCUGCACGAAUGGCGUAAUGAUGGCCGUGCUGUCUCCACCCGAGACUCAGUGAAAUUGAACUCGCUGUGAAGAUGCAGUGUACCCGCGGCAAGACGGAAAGACCCCGUGAACCUUUACUAUAGCUUGACACUGAACAUUGAGCCUUGAUGUGUAGGAUAGGUGGGAGGCUUUGAAGUGUGGACGCCAGUCUGCAUGGAGCCGACCUUGAAAUACCACCCUUUAAUGUUUGAUGUUCUAACGUUGGCCCGUAAUCCGGGUUGCGGACAGUGUCUGGUGGGUAGUUUGACUGGGGCGGUCUCCUCCUAAAGAGUAACGGAGGAGCACGAAGGUUGGCUAAUCCUGGUCGGACAUCAGGAGGUUAGUGCAAUGGCAUAAGCCAGCUUGACUGCGAGCGUGACGGCGCGAGCAGGUGCGAAAGCAGGUCAUAGUGAUCCGGUGGUUCUGAAUGGAAGGGCCAUCGCUCAACGGAUAAAAGGUACUCCGGGGAUAACAGGCUGAUACCGCCCAAGAGUUCAUAUCGACGGCGGUGUUUGGCACCUCGAUGUCGGCUCAUCACAUCCUGGGGCUGAAGUAGGUCCCAAGGGUAUGGCUGUUCGCCAUUUAAAGUGGUACGCGAGCUGGGUUUAGAACGUCGUGAGACAGUUCGGUCCCUAUCUGCCGUGGGCGCUGGAGAACUGAGGGGGGCUGCUCCUAGUACGAGAGGACCGGAGUGGACGCAUCACUGGUGUUCGGGUUGUCAUGCCAAUGGCACUGCCCGGUAGCUAAAUGCGGAAGAGAUAAGUGCUGAAAGCAUCUAAGCACGAAACUUGCCCCGAGAUGAGUUCUCCCUGAGACUUAGAGUCUCCUGAAGGAACGUUGAAGACGACGACGUUGAUAGGCCGGGUGUGUAAGCGCAGCGAUGCGUUGAGCUAACCGGUACUAAUGAACCGUGAGGCUUAACCUUACAACGCCGAAG
Molecule: ribosomal RNA, 2922 nt
Filed under: Escherichia coli
Lineage: Bacteria; Pseudomonadati; Pseudomonadota; Gammaproteobacteria; Enterobacterales; Enterobacteriaceae
Description: 23S ribosomal RNA
Rfam family: Bacterial large subunit ribosomal RNA
Source: RNAcentral